This is a long non-coding RNA of Mercenaria mercenaria, 2328 nucleotides long. RefSeq lists it as uncharacterized. The record is from RefSeq and is a predicted model, not a curated record. The transcript is spliced from 2 exons. Lineage: Eukaryota; Metazoa; Mollusca; Bivalvia; Venerida; Veneridae.
UGUGACCUCUCUAGAGGCCAUAUUUUUCAAUGGAUCUUCAUGAAAAUAGGUCAGAAUUUUUAUCUUGAUGAUAUCUAGAUCAAAUUCAAAACUGGGUCACAUGAGCUCAAAAACUAGGUCACUAUGUCAAAUAAAAGAAAAAACGACAUCUUACUCAAAACUGGGUCAUGUGGGAACAGGUGAGCGAUUCAGGACCAUCAUGAUCCUCUUGUUAGUUUUAUUAUUUGCAUUUUACUGCUUCAGAAUGGUACCAUAAAAAUACGUAAGCAUGGGUUGUGACAUAACUUCUGAAUGUUCCUUGUGAAUAUUUGCUGUUUUUCUUUUGUUUUGUUUUUUAAUAACAGCAAACAUUAGUGUAAAAUUGCAUCUUGUUAGAGGCUGAUAACAUUAAAAGUACAUAAUAUUAGCUAAUUAUUUUGAAGCCUUAAAAAUGAAAAAAAGAAAAUAAACUUUUUUUUAGAAUUAAAUAAAAGUAUACUUUUUAUGGGUUGUGAUAUGCUUUAGGCAGGGACAUGCAGGUGGUUUGGUGUCAUUUAACAAAUACCAUAUCAUCCUAUGUUUUAUGGUAAUAUACAAGUAGGUUGUGUAAUUUACAUUUUUCUCCUUUACUUCUGAAUGGAGUCGCAUCUUAUCAAGUAGAGAAACGUAUCACAAUACUUCUUUUCUUUCUUGCUUAUAUUUCACAAAAAUCACUAUAGCUCAGGGGCUAACCUAUUUGUAGUAACCUUUACACAUGCAAAAUAGUCACAAAAUGUAUAGCUGUAAGUCAUAGCAUAAUUUCAGGCAUUUAUUAAUGAAGAAGAUCUGUAUAGUGAUUAAAUCGGUCAAUUUUUGUGUUUGUAGUUACAGAAACUUAUUUUACAAAAAUAGAUGGUAGUAAGAGUCAUAAUAGUUAAUUUUCCUGUUCUAUAUAAACAAUUAUUUUUGAGAAAUCUGAUGAUAUAAACCAAUAGAUACAGGAUGAUUUAGUGGAAGGGAAGUAACUCUUCAUUCUGUAUAGCAUUCUUCUGGUAGUUUAAAAAUAUCAUGAAAACUUUUCAUGCAUGUCAAUUAAGAUGAUGCAUUUUUCUAUGUCAAUCAAAAAAGAGUGAAAUCUUAACAUUUCUGCAUUAAUUAGAAAGUUUUUAGUUUUUGUUUAGUCAGAAUCUCUCUGUAACAGACAGCUGUCAAGAUCAUAUGGUGCAUGUUUGGCUUUAAAUGCUUCGUUACAUCAUUAAAUUGAUUUCUUUGAAACACAGAAGUGAUACAGUCAUGUUGUUUAAUGUCUCCAGUACAAAAUUUGAUCUGCACAUAGAUGACUUUUUUUUUUUUUGUUUUAUUUCACCUCUAUAAUGCUAUUUUGAAAAAACUCACAAAGUAACAACCGUGAUAAGACAAUUAAGAUGUGCACAAAAAUUAAUUGAGCCGUGCCAUGGGAAAACCAACAUAGUGGGUUUGCGACCAGCAUGGAUCCAGACCAGCCUGCGCAUCCGCGCAGUCUGGUCAGGAUCCAUGCUGUUCGCUAACAGUUUUCCAGUUCCAAAAGGCUUUAAAAGCGAACAGCAUGGAUCCUGACCAGACUGCGCGGAUGCGCAGGCUGGUCUGGAUCCAUGCUGGUCGCAAACCCACUAUGUUGGUUUUCUCAUGGCGCGGCUCAAUUGUAGCCUAUGUUUUACAUAUUUCCAUUUAUAAGUCAAGAGUAGAACAGGGUUAGUUGUGUAAGCCAGUUGUUUUGUUAGUAUAAAUGCUAAACGUAUGUCAUUUCCUUUGUUAAAUGAUGUAAAAAAAAUAUUAAUGAACAAAAUGUUAAAAAAAAAUAAAAAAUUAUAAUGCAAUUUUUAUGUUGAAGCAAAAAUACUUUGUGACAUUUAUGUUUAAUUAUAUUGAGAUGAAUUGAGUGGGUUUUUCAGAGUCAAAUGGUUCAAGUUGCUGACUUAAAAAUCACUUGGGUGUCACCUCAACUUCUUGGUGUAUAGAUUUCUAAGAGGGUGAUCAAGUUUCAUUAUUGAAGGUCGAAGGUUCUGCCCAUUACUUGGCUAUGCCAGAAAGAAUGCACGAUUUGGCACCUUCGGUCUUCCUCCAAUUUAUAAUGGAACGCGACUUUUAUUAUAUGACAGUGGGAUUUAAAACCAAACAAAAAUUAAUUUGAAAUUAUUAAAGUACUCUCUAGUACACCGGACAGGAAAAAACAGUUACUCCAAGGAUAUAAUUAUGACAAACCUGUACUAUAAAGUUUUUACUAGAAAACCGAUUUUUUUUUGUUUUGCAGCACCCUGUGAUUUGUUAGCGUGAUGUUAUGAUGUACUCAGUCAGAAUCAUGAAAAAAAUAAAGCAUGAUUGUUAUAUGAA